Molecule: long non-coding RNA, 1044 nt
Organism: Cydia amplana
Lineage: Eukaryota; Metazoa; Arthropoda; Insecta; Lepidoptera; Tortricidae
Exons: 2
Source: RefSeq, a predicted model, not a curated record
UUAAGAGCUGUGUUAAAUGUUUAUGAACAGGCCGCGUCCACACUGCUUUUUGGGCUCCGAGUCGUGCACCGAACACUUUUACACGACGCCACGCGGCGGACGACGUUCGGUGGACGCGCUCACACUUAAGCGCCAAGAUGGAUCAAACUAAAGGGACAGACACAAUUAAGUAAUUUCGCCCACUUGGACUAAUCCGCCUUCUAGAAUUAAGAGUUCCAUACUGGAAGAUAUGAUGUCUAUCAAGUGAAAUAUUUAAUAAAUCUAAUAUUUUGAUAGAAUUCUACGAGUUUAUGUAACAAUGGGAUAGGUAGUUUUUGUUACAACAUUCUUGACAAAACUAACGUUUUUUUACAUGUAUAUGUUAUACCAUUGUGUAACAUAAUUAAUAUUUUGAAAUUAAGAAGUUGUUUUAUUACUUCAUUGAAUUCAAUUGGAUGUGCACCUUUAUUGUACCUAUUGUUACAGAUUAAAAUUGCCAGAACAUUGUUGUGUAUUGUUAUGGGUAAUUUAUAAUAGUAACAUGGUAUGGUAAUAAUAAUAAUCAGAGACCAUGAACGAUAUUGGGCUUAGUGAAUGAGAUUUUCAAAAUUUAAUGUUUGUAAUACAGAAACGACUCUCAUGAUAUUACAUGUUAUAAGUGCAGCUGAAUAAUAUUUGGUGGUAAUCGGUUUCUCUGGCGUCGUUUUUUGUAUUUUGAGCAUUGGACUGCACUGGUUUGAUUGUGCCUGAAAAAACUCAUUAAUGCCGCUCCAAACCUCAAAAUUAUGUAUUUGAAUACUUUAUAACUUUAGUGUUAUGUCAACUUGUGUUGACCAAUUAUACUCUCAGGGAGUGAUAACAUUAUUCAGGAUUGGCUAAGUUUUAUUUUUUGAUGGGGAAAUGAGCUAUUGUGUGAGGUCAUAGUGUCUAAAAUAGUACAAAUGAGAAGACUUAUUGUGGUAAGGCUCGGACUAUUCAACAUUGCAAAUGCUAGGUUUGAGAUGUAUCCCUGUGUACUAGUUUUAUUUUGUACUAAAAGUUAAAAUAAAUUAAUAAUUAUACUCA